AUGAGUAUUAUAAGUUGCAACUACCGAGGGGCGGGGAGCUCUCGGACAGUUCGCGACCUUGUGAGCUUGGCACAAGCUCAUUCCCCUUCUAUCUUUUUUUGUGAAACUAGGCAGUCGAAGGAUAGGAUGAAGAGAUACCGCUCUCGUUUAGGUUUACAUGGUUUUGAAGCUGUCGAUAGUGAUGGUUUUAGUGGUGGUCUAGCUCUUUUUUGGCACAAAUCUGUGCAACUUGAUGUAAAAGAUUUGAAUAAACGAUAUAUUGAUGCGUAUGUGAGGACGGCGGCGGGGAGCCCCCUUGGAGGCUCACCUGCGUCUACGGUGAGCCGCGAAUGGAGGACCAUCACCACAUGUGGUUGCUCCUUCGUGAUCUUCAUCACCAGGUGGAUAUGCCUUGGGUGGUGA
RNAcentral lists this ribosomal RNA (402 nucleotides) under Triticum aestivum (bread wheat). RNAcentral describes it as "partial small subunit ribosomal RNA". Lineage: Eukaryota; Viridiplantae; Streptophyta; Magnoliopsida; Poales; Poaceae. The record is from RNAcentral.